GACGAACGCUGGCGGCGUGCUUAACACAUGCAAGUCGAACGGAAAGGCCCUGCUUUUGUGGGGUGCUCGAGUGGCGAACGGGUGAGUAACACGUGAGUAACCUGCCCUUGACUUUGGGAUAACUUCAGGAAACUGGGGCUAAUACCGGAUAGGAGCUCCAGCUGCAUGGUGGGGGUUGGAAAGUUUCGGCGGUUGGGGAUGGACUCGCGGCUUAUCAGCUUGUUGGUGGGGUAGUGGCUUACCAAGGCUUUGACGGGUAGCCGGCCUGAGAGGGUGACCGGCCACAUUGGGACUGAGAUACGGCCCAGACUCCUACGGGAGGCAGCAGUGGGGAAUAUUGCACAAUGGGCGGAAGCCUGAUGCAGCAACGCCGCGUACGGGAUGACGGCCUUCGGGUUGUAAACCGCUUUCGCCUGUGACGAAGCGUGAGUGACGGUAAUGGGUAAAGAAGCACCGGCUAACUACGUG
This 468-nucleotide ribosomal RNA is filed under the name uncultured bacterium. Its description in RNAcentral is "partial 16S ribosomal RNA". It matches the Rfam family "Bacterial small subunit ribosomal RNA", at positions 28 to 507 of the family's 1533-position model. The record is from RNAcentral.